GGGCGCGUAGCUCAGUUGGGAGAGCGUUGCCGUGACAUGGCAAGUCAGUCGCUGGUUCAAGCCCAGCCGUGCCCA
RNAcentral lists this transfer RNA (75 nucleotides) under Thermoplasmata archaeon. RNAcentral's name for it is "tRNA-Val". It matches the Rfam family "tRNA". Rfam says of the family: Transfer RNA (tRNA) molecules are approximately 80 nucleotides in length. RNAcentral also lists the same sequence under 1 other name. The record is from RNAcentral. Lineage: Archaea; Methanobacteriati; Thermoplasmatota; Thermoplasmata.